GACGAACGCUGGCGGCGUGCUUAACACAUGCAAGUCGAACGAAGUGGCGAACGGGUGAGUAACGCGUAAUCAACCUGCCCUUCAGAGGGGGACAACAGUUGGAAACGGCUGCUAAUACUCUAUAGUGUAGGAUGAGGCUAUAUUGUAUCAGCUAGUUGGUGAGGUAAUGGCUCACCAAGGCUAUGACGCAUAACUGGUCUGAGAGGAUGAUCAGUCACACUGGAACUGAGACACGGUCCAGACUCCUACGGGAGGCAGCAGUAGGGAAUAUUGCUCAAUGGGGGAAACCCUGAAGCAGCAACGCCGCGUGGAGGAUGACACUUUUCGGAGCGUAAACUCCUUUUGUUAGGGAAGCGGUACCUAACGAAUAAGCACCGGCUAACUCCGUGCCAGCAGCCGCGGUAAUUC
RNAcentral lists this ribosomal RNA (408 nucleotides) under uncultured bacterium. RNAcentral describes it as "partial 16S ribosomal RNA". It matches the Rfam family "Bacterial small subunit ribosomal RNA", at positions 28 to 526 of the family's 1533-position model. The record is from RNAcentral.